GACGAACGCUGGCGGCGUGCCUAAUACAUGCAAGUAGAACGCUGAAGAGAGGAGCUUGCUCUUCUUGGAUGAGUUGCGAACGGGUGAGUAACGCGUAGGUAACCUGCCUUGUAGCGGGGGAUAACUAUUGGAAACGAUAGCUAAUACCGCAUAACAAUGGAUGACACAUGUCAUUUAUUUGAAAGGGGCAAUUGUUCCACUACAAGAUGGACCUGCGUUGUAUUAGCUAGUAGGUGAGGUAAUGGCUCACCUAGGCGACGAUACAUAGCCGACCUGAGAGGGUGAUCGGCCACACUGGGACUGAGACACGGCCCAGACUCCUACGGGAGGCAGCAGUAGGGAAUCUUCGGCAAUGGGGGCAACCCUGACCGAGCAACGCCGCGGGAGUGAAGAAGGUUUUCGGAUCGUAAAGCUCUGUUGUAAGUCAAGAACGGGUGUGAGAGUGGAAAGUUCACACUGUGACGGUAGCUUACCAGAAAGGGACGGCUAACUACGUG
This 497-nucleotide ribosomal RNA is filed under the name uncultured bacterium. RNAcentral describes it as "partial 16S ribosomal RNA". It matches the Rfam family "Bacterial small subunit ribosomal RNA", at positions 28 to 507 of the family's 1533-position model. The record is from RNAcentral.